Long non-coding RNA from Pyrus x bretschneideri (Chinese white pear), 345 nucleotides. RefSeq lists it as uncharacterized. The transcript is spliced from 2 exons. The record is from RefSeq and is a predicted model, not a curated record. Lineage: Eukaryota; Viridiplantae; Streptophyta; Magnoliopsida; Rosales; Rosaceae.
UAUGCUUCUUCUUCGUCCACUUUCAUCGUCUUAAAUUUCCUAUUCAUUUUGCUCAAUUUUUGUUCAAUUUCGAUAAGGUAUUAUAGCUCGGAGCUGAUUUACAGAUUUUAAAAAUGGUGGAUGCUAGGCAAAAAAUGCUUGGACAGGUUUAAACUAACGAUCUGUUCAACAAUAUGAAAUUGCUUUGUGUUUUAAGAUCUUCAUCCGAAUAAAGUUUCGUUAUUUUGUAUGUUAACCGACACCCAUUUGCAGUUCGAAGCCGAUGUGCAUAUUUUGAAUAUGGUGUAUGCUGGGCCAAAACGGCUUGGACAAGUAAUUCAAUUUCAAUGGCCAGACCGUUCUUUA